This 220-nucleotide ribosomal RNA is filed under the name uncultured bacterium. RNAcentral describes it as "partial 16S ribosomal RNA". It matches the Rfam family "Bacterial small subunit ribosomal RNA", at positions 57 to 305 of the family's 1533-position model. The record is from RNAcentral.
GCAAGUCGAACGCCCUCUUCGGAGGGAGUGGUAGACGGGUGAGUAACACGUGGGAAUCUACCUAUCUCUGCGGAACAACACAUAGAAAUGUGUGCUAAUACCGCAUACGCCCUUAGGGGGAAAGAUUUAUCGGUGAUAGAUGAGCCCGCGUUUGAUUAGCUAGUUGGUGAGGUAAUGGCUCACCAAGGCGACGAUCAGUAUCUGGUUUGAGAGGACGAUC